CUAAGUUUGAUGGCGACCGGCGCACGGGUGAGUAACACGUAUCCAACCUGCCGAUGACUCGGGGAUAGCCUUUCGAAAGAAAGAUUAACACCCGAUGGCAUAGUUCUUCCGCAUGGUGGAACUAUUAAAGAAUUUCGGUCAUCGAUGGGGAUGCGUUCCAUUAGGUUGUUGGCGGGGUAACGGCCCACCAAGCCUUCGAUGGAUAGGGGUUCUGAGAGGAAGGUCCCCCACAUUGGAACUGAGACACGGUCCAAACUCCUACGGGAGGCAGCAUG
Molecule: ribosomal RNA, 275 nt
Filed under: uncultured bacterium
Lineage: Bacteria
Description: partial 16S ribosomal RNA
Rfam family: Bacterial small subunit ribosomal RNA
Source: RNAcentral